GACAAAUGAUGCCCUCAGACUCCUCAGGACAAGUUUGGGGCCCCUCAUCUCAUUUGCUAUUUCUAUACUGUACGUGGGCUUUAGAAAGAGAAUGGAACGUAAAGUCAGUGCAAGUAGGGUGAGCAUCUAGAAUUUUAAAUGAACCUGGAAAAUUCCUCUAGGCUUCAGGUAAACUCUUGGACAGCUGAGACUUCAGGAAUCAGCAGCUGCUGAGAGAGCUGGUUGUAGUUCACCUGUGUGGGAAGUAGGUGCACAGUGCUUGAAGACUGAAAAUUAUCCCCUCAUGCUGGGGGAUGAAAUCCAGAGCAACAACAUGAUUCUUCAUUCUGAGAUUCCAGCU
Octodon degus (degu) is the source of this 340-nucleotide long non-coding RNA. RefSeq lists it as uncharacterized. Lineage: Eukaryota; Metazoa; Chordata; Mammalia; Rodentia; Octodontidae. The record is from RefSeq and is a predicted model, not a curated record. The transcript has 3 exons.